GAUGAACGCUGGCGGCGUGCCUAAUACAUGCAAGUCGAGCGAACGGACGAGAAGCUUGCUUCUCUGAUGUUAGCGGCGGACGGGUGAGUAACACGUGGAUAACCUACCUAUAAGACUGGGAUAACUUCGGGAAACCGGAGCUAAUACCGGAUAAUAUUUUGAACCGCAUGGUUCAAAAGUGAAAGACGGUCUUGCUGUCACUUAUAGAUGGAUCCGCGCUGCAUUAGCUAGUUGGUAAGGUAACGGCUUACCAAGGCAACGAUGCAUAGCCGACCUGAGAGGGUGAUCGGCCACACUGGAACUGAGACACGGUCCAGACUCCUACGGGAGGCAGCAGUAGGGAACCUUCCGCAAUGGGGGAAAGCCUGACGGAGCAACGCCGCGUGAGUGAUGAAGGUCUUCGGAUCGUAAAACUCUGUUAUUAGGGAAGAACAUAUGUGUAAGUAACUGUGCACAUCUUGACGGUACCUAAUCAGAAAGCCACGGCUAACUACGUG
This 497-nucleotide ribosomal RNA is filed under the name uncultured bacterium. RNAcentral's name for it is "partial 16S ribosomal RNA". It matches the Rfam family "Bacterial small subunit ribosomal RNA", at positions 28 to 507 of the family's 1533-position model. The record is from RNAcentral.